AGCGAACGCUGGCGGUAGGCCUAACACAUGCAAGUCGAACGAGUGGCGGACGGGUGAGGAAUACAUCGGAAUCUACUCUGUCGUGGGGGAUAACGUAGGGAAACUUACGCUAAUACCGCAUACGAUUGAUUGAGCCGAUGUCGGAUUAGCUAGUUGGCGGGGUAAAGGCCCACCAGGGCGACGAUCCGUCGCUGGUCUGAGAAGAUGAUCAGCCACACUGGAACUGAGACACGGUACAGACUCAUGGGGGGGGGAGGUGUGGGGAAUAUUGGAAGAGGGGAGAAAGGCUGAGACAGCCAGACCGCGUGGGUGGAGAAGGUCUUCGGGUUAAAAAGCCCUUUUGUUGGAAAAGCGGUACCCAAAGAAUAAGAACCGGCAAACAUCGGGCCAGCAGCCGCGGAAAUC
Molecule: ribosomal RNA, 405 nt
Filed under: uncultured bacterium
Lineage: Bacteria
Description: partial 16S ribosomal RNA
Rfam family: Bacterial small subunit ribosomal RNA
Source: RNAcentral